UACGUAGGGUGCGAGCGUUGUCCGGAAUUAUUGGGCGUAAAGGGCUCGUAGGCGGUUUGUCGCGUCUGUCGUGAAAGCUCGGGGCUUAACUCCGGGUCUGCGGUGGAUACGGGCAGGCUAGAGUCCGGCAGGGGAGACUGGAAUUCCUGGUGUAGCGGUGAAAUGCGCAGAUAUCAGGAGGAACACCGGUGGCGAAGGCGGGUCUCUGGGCCGGUACUGACGCUGAGGAGCGAAAGCGUGGGGAGCGAACAGG
Molecule: ribosomal RNA, 253 nt
Filed under: uncultured bacterium
Lineage: Bacteria
Description: partial 16S ribosomal RNA
Rfam family: Bacterial small subunit ribosomal RNA
Source: RNAcentral